ACGCACGCUGGCGGCAUGCCUAACCCCUGCACGUCGAACGCGACCUUCGGGUCUAGUGGCGCACGGGUGCGUAACGCGUGGGAACCUGCCCUUAGGUUCGGAAUAACUCCCCGAAAGGGGUGCUAAUACCGGAUAAUGUCUUCGGACCAAAGAUUUAUCGCCUUUGGAUAGGCCCGCGUUGGAUUAGCUAGUUGGUAGGGUAAAAGCCUACCAAGGCGACGAUCCAUAGCUGGUCUGAGAGGAUGAUCAGCCACACUGGGACUGAGACACGGCCCAGACUCCUACGGGAGGCAGCAGUGGGGAAUAUUGGACAAUGGGCGAAAGCCUGAUCCAGCAAUGCCGCGUGAGUGAUGAAGGCCUUAGGGUUGUAAAGCUCUUUUACCCGGGAUGAUAAUGACAGUACCGGGAGAAUAAGCUCCGGCUAACUCCGUG
This 432-nucleotide ribosomal RNA is filed under the name uncultured bacterium. RNAcentral describes it as "partial 16S ribosomal RNA". It matches the Rfam family "Bacterial small subunit ribosomal RNA", at positions 29 to 507 of the family's 1533-position model. The record is from RNAcentral.